UUACAGCUACUAUAUGCCUCAACACAUGACAAUACGAACGUUGCUCUAAGAAGUGCUUCCCGGUGCACCGGUAUUCAACUCAACUCUAUUUGGGGUGGGGGAGCAGUUGAGAACAAAGUGGCGAACGGGUGCGUAACGCGUGGGAAUCUGCCGAACAGUUCGGGCCAAAUCCUGAAUUCCAUUCACCAUUCCCAUCCCCCUUCUAUAGAGGUAGGGCUAUAGGGCAAGGUAGGGCCCCGGCACUAGUUAUAGUGGGGGCAUCGUAACCUUUCCAACCAGCCCCUACCCCUGCAGGGGAGGGGCCCUUAAAUAGUAGGGGCCUCCCCCCCACCCCGGGCCUUGAUAGGGGUGGGUGGGGGGUAAAU
RNAcentral lists this ribosomal RNA (365 nucleotides) under Thuja occidentalis. RNAcentral's name for it is "partial 18S ribosomal RNA". Lineage: Eukaryota; Viridiplantae; Streptophyta; Pinopsida; Cupressales; Cupressaceae. The record is from RNAcentral.